RNAcentral lists this transfer RNA (67 nucleotides) under Equus caballus (horse). RNAcentral's name for it is "tRNA-Pro". The record is from RNAcentral. Lineage: Eukaryota; Metazoa; Chordata; Mammalia; Perissodactyla; Equidae.
AUCAAAGGAGAAGCUCUAGCUCCACCAUCAACACCCAAAGCUGAAAUUCUACUUAAACUAUUCCUUG